This 2535-nucleotide long non-coding RNA is filed under the name Canis lupus familiaris (dog). Its description in RNAcentral is "lncRNA (ENSCAFG00030006737.1)". The record is from RNAcentral. Lineage: Eukaryota; Metazoa; Chordata; Mammalia; Carnivora; Canidae.
UGGAGAGUCUGCUUCCUCUUCGAUUGCUCUUGGCUGUUGCCGGGGACACUGAAGAGUCGUGAUACCGAUGGAUCAGGAGCCGGAGGUGCCGCGGCGACAGUCCAGGCCUUGAGGGAGCACAGGGCCUCACCAACAGAGGAGUGUUCUUCCCGAGGGGUUCUGGGCCACAGGAGCUUUCUGGAGGAUAGAAGAGACCGAAGCGGGGCAAGCUGCUCCAGCAGGUCCUCUUUCCAGGGUUCGUCCGGUAAGCCAGCCAGCUCGGACUUGGAGGAUUGUGACUGGUGCACGUUCCGUUUCCUUGACAGUUGGGCACUUCCCGUAAGUAGGUUUUAAAUUUGUGAUGCGGGCCCGACCACUGGGGCAGCCUCUGUUUUGUGGGUCCCGAUCCAUGAACUACCUUUAUCAGUGCCCUGACUGCUGACAAACCCAUGUUCACACGUCACUGUAGGCAGCAACGCCGAGGCCUCCCUGGGCACAGAUGGCGGGCACAGAGCCAAGGGGCCCCCUGGUCCAAGAGGGAAGUGUUUGGGGGUCGGUGGGUUGAUUUGAUUUUGUCUCAACGGGAACUUUCUUUGGAUCUCUUUCCCUGACUUCACUGCACAUUUCAAAACAACAUUCUUUUAUGAACAAGCACCAGGACAUCAAAUACUUCCACACCCUAUGCUAGAAGUGCUUCAGGCCAUGUUGUUCUUUUUCUUUUAAAUAGUUCCAUGUAAAAUCAGAUGUUAAAUCUCUCUGAAUAAACCCAAGUGGAAAGGUUUUUUUUUUUUCUUUAAUAACACCAAUGACAAUCAGAACAGGUGGAAAGAAUAUGUGCCCUCAACACACAGAGCACAGUGGUUUAGAAGAAAAACACUAAGUUGUUACAUAUGUAACAAACAAUUCUUAUUUAUUGAUGGUGAGAAAAAUGAACAACAAAGCUUGGGGGGAAAGUACAGCAGGAAAUGUAUUAGCAGGAAGGAUGAUUUAUGUCUUCGAAUGGGGCCUAUUUCUUUCAUAAAAGGGUUUUGUUUUGCAUCUUGGUCAGGACCAGCUUUGCCCCACUUUUUUGAUUAUUAGAGCUUGUUUUGAGUCCAUCAUUUAUCACAGCUUUUUGAAACCACUCUUCAGCUAACACACCGUGAAAUAGACGGGAUUUCCAGGAUUUGCUACUCAGUUCUACAAUGCUGGAGCUGGAUGGGACUUUGGAGAUUGAGAGGCUGACACUACAAUCCCCACCUUGGUCACCCCUACACCCUCUCCAUUGUACUGUGAGGGAGAUGAGCCUGUGAGAGAAAGGAUCCCACUGUUGUUUGUGGCAGAAACAGAUCAUUUUGUUAGCAAUGCUUUGUAAAGGGACUCAAGACCUAGAAUUCUAGACUUUGUUUCUUUCUCUCAUUUUCUUCCCUAAUGCUCUGCAUAAAAGAACAGCUUUAUUAAUCGACAUGGAGUAUGGUAUGGGUGGUUUUGACGAUAACUCAUAAAAUACGCCGGGGCAUUCAUGUUUUUGUUUCCCUCAAAAGAUUGCCUCUCUCAGAUUGGCAUUGUGUGGUAUUUUCAAACACUUGAACUUCGUACAGAGGGCUGGAAGGAACUUCAGAAGAACCCUAAUUUUUGCUAAAGGUGAUCAAAUGGGGUGUUAACACGCUGCAUGCUGCCAAAGGGUGAGUUAAAGUAGGAAGAACUUUCCAUGUGUAGACAUGGGCCUGAAAGAGUUCCAAAAACGUUUGUUGUGAACUUCAGGAAACCCUGAAAAUUUUGUGCUAACCAGCUUGAAAUAACACAGACUCUUCUCUUGGUAAAUUCACAGGACCUGACAAGGAAAAGUUCCUACCUGUGUACUUACAGAAUUCUCUCUGCAUUCACUCUCUGUGGGGUGAACUUCAGUUCCACCAGCGGACUCUGCAUAGUACUGGCCCUGUGCCUUUCUAGAUUUUUUUCCUGGCUUGUCAGACCUGUUCUCUCCCAAAGUUUUGUUUCAUGGUUGUUGUAUUUGUUUAUUUUGUUUGGAAAGCUUUUAUUUCAUAAAUACUGCAUUUAUUCAUUUUAGAACAAUGAGAAAAUACAGAUACAGAAAAAAAAAGAGAGAGAGAAAGAGAUUACCUGUAAUACUAGAGGUAGCCAACCAUUGAUAUUUUGGAAUAUACAUUUCUAGACUUUUUGUAUAAAUAUGUACACACUGAAGUACAUCUUCUUAACAACAAAGAUGGGAUCACACAGUUUAUAUUGUUGGAUUCCCCGGUCUUUCAUUGUUUGAGAACGUGUUAAUAUUGGCAAUGACUCUUCUCUCUAGGCUAGGCUCUCAUUUGAAUUCCUUUCAAUAAAGACAGAAUUUUCAAGAUGUCAGAGUUGGGGACCUGUCAAGUGGAUAUUCCUCUGCCCUUCGUUCUCUGUCUAGGAUAAUCCUAAGCAUUGCUUUCAGCCUUUUGCUAGAAGUGGGAAUAUUUUCAAUUUGUAAAUAGCCAUAGAUGUUCCUACAGUCCUGCAUUCCCCACCUGCCUAUGUUCCAUUGGUGAAAACACAGAGUGGUUUGCCUACCAACUGCAGCUGUUCUCC